RNAcentral lists this unclassified non-coding RNA (165 nucleotides) under uncultured Tolypocladium. RNAcentral's name for it is "sequence contains ITS1". The record is from RNAcentral. Lineage: Eukaryota; Fungi; Ascomycota; Sordariomycetes; Hypocreales; Clavicipitaceae.
CCGAGUUUACCAACUCCCAAACCCCUGUGAACAUACCCGAAACGUUGCCUCGGCGGGACCGCCCCGGCGCCCUCUGCGGCCCGGAACCAGGCGCCCGCCGGAGGACCCAAACUCUUGCUUUGAACAGUGGCAUACUCUCUGAGUCUCACAAACAAAAAUGAAUCA